CGGGAGCGACCCCGCAAAGGAGCCUGGGAAUUGUAGUCGGCCGAGAGAUCCGAGGAAGCGCCGGGUCCUGGUCCCUUACCAAGGGAGAAACGGGCUGGCGGAAAAUGGAGCCGCAGCCACCAGCUUUCACACCCCACGGCACACCCCCUCGCCGCGCCCCGGAGCAGGACUGGCUGGGGCACACUCGGAUAGCACGUAAAUCUGUCACUGCUGGUCAUGAACCCAUUUUGACCUUAUCUUGGUGUAUGGCGUUAAGUAUGGAUCAAUGCCUAGUUUCUGCCAUAUUAGUUUCCAAUUUUCCCAGCAAUUUUAUCAAACUAAAUUUCCAGAUUAUCGGUGUUUUACUUGACAUACCCUUGACUUUUGUCUCGCCACUGGACUCUGAUGACUCUGGAGAAGAGUGAGCUCAGAAGAAUGAAGAAGGAUCCUUGGAUUGGAAAGUUCAUAAAAAUGGACAUUGAUACUUCACAUGUGUAGGGAGGUUGUGAGAGAGUCCCCAGCCUCAAGGACAUUCAGGUCAUUAGGCCCAGAUGGAACUGAUUCAGUGAGAUUGAGAAAACUGGCUGAUGGGAUUGCUAAGCCUCCAUCUGAUAUGUGAAAAUGUCACAGAGAACAGGAGAACUGGAACAAGACUGCAAUGGGCAAAGGUGGUCCUUCAAAAAAAAAAAAAAGAACAGGAUGUACCAACUAUUGGCUAUGAGCUUUCCAGCAAAAUCCCUAGCUGUAUUAAGAAAAGGAUGGUUAGUGAGUGAACAUCUGGAAAGGGAAGCCGUGAUCAGAGAGGUAGCCCAAGUCCUGCCAAACGAAGUUUCUUUGUGGGUUGUGAUUAGAUUGGGGAGGAGGGGUGUCCAUGGGAAAGGGGAGCUGGUCCCAGGAGUCCUAUAAUGCCAAUAUGAGCAUAGGUUCAACUGCUCCUGCUCCACCCUAUCACUGUUUCCAGGUUCAUUCCUAAUAAAGCUGCCCUG
Molecule: long non-coding RNA, 965 nt
Filed under: Sarcophilus harrisii (Tasmanian devil)
Lineage: Eukaryota; Metazoa; Chordata; Mammalia; Dasyuromorphia; Dasyuridae
Description: lncRNA (ENSSHAG00000024346.1)
Source: RNAcentral